UAGGGAAUCUUCCACAAUGGACGCAAGUCUGAUGGAGCAACGCCGCGUGAGUGAAAAAGGUUUUCGGAUCGUAAAGCUCUGUUGUUGGUGAAGAAGGAUAGAGGCAGUAACUGGUCUUUAUUUGACGGUAAUCAACCAGAAAGUCACGGCUAACUACGUGCCAGCAGCCGCGGUAAUACGUAGGUGGCAAGCGUUGUCCGGAUUUAUUGGGCGUAAAGCGAGCGCAGGCGGAAUGAUAAGUCUGAUGUGAAAGCCCACGGCUCAACCGUGGAACUGCAUCGGAAACUGUCAUUCUUGAGUGCAGAAGAGGAGAGUGGAACCCCAUGUGUAGCGGUGGAAUGCGUAGAUAUAUGGAAGAACACCAGUGGCGAAGGCGGCUCUCUGGUCUGCAACUGACGCUGAGGCUCGAAAGCAUGGGUAGCGAACAGGAUUAGAUACCCUGGUAGUCCAUGCCGUAAACGAUGAGCGCUAGGUGUUGGGGACUUUCCGGUCCUCAGUGCCGCAGCAAACGCAUUAAGCGCUCCGCCUGGGGAGUACGACCGCAAGGUUGAAAC
Molecule: ribosomal RNA, 554 nt
Filed under: uncultured bacterium
Lineage: Bacteria
Description: partial 16S ribosomal RNA
Rfam family: Bacterial small subunit ribosomal RNA
Source: RNAcentral